This is a long non-coding RNA of Oncorhynchus keta (chum salmon), 1371 nucleotides long. RefSeq lists it as uncharacterized. The record is from RefSeq and is a predicted model, not a curated record. The transcript has 4 exons. Lineage: Eukaryota; Metazoa; Chordata; Actinopteri; Salmoniformes; Salmonidae.
UUCUCCUGUGAUACAAAAGUAUCUGGAGCGGGAUGGGCUACUAUUUGGGGUCCUUCCUGGGUCCUUAAUUUCCAUGGUAACAUUGUUGUUAACGUAACAAUGCAUUCGGGUCCCUGAAGCUACUAGCUAGCCGAAUGGAAGAGGGACGACGUGUUAUUACAACUAUCAACAACAUGACGCCGAAAAAAGAAAUGGGCGGCAAGUGGCAAUUUGAGGUCCUGGCUCAUCAGUAGAGUCUAGCAUCAAACAGAGUUGGCUCAACCUGGCUUGUCCAUGUCUCCACUCAAGUUGUUCAGCAGGCGAGGAGACAGUACUUCAGGUGGAGAGAUCAGGAACCAUGGAUGCUACAGUUUUGUGGCCCUGUGGUGAAGCGACGAUUCUGGAGCAGCUUGAAAGCUACCUGUAGAGGGAGCUGCAGGCUCUUGACCCACUUCUGCCAAAAGUCAAACUUCACGUCCCAUCCAUCUGCCCUUUAAUUUAUACAUGUUAUCCAUACAUCUUCAUGGGUUUGGUACAUGGUAUUUACAUGGUAUUUACCUAACUACAAUAAGGAGUACAGCCUAUAACUUGGUUGUCAAGUCACAAAAUCUGCCCUCUGUCAUAUAUACUGUACAAGCCGCUAUAGUCUUACAUACUUUUUUUUAAUGAAAUCACAUUUGGUGUGUAGCAUUGCAGCAUGGAGUGUUUGUGAUUGUGGCAUAUAGGCCUAUUGUGUUAUGGUAAAUGUGAGCCUGGACAGCACAACAAGGAUGAGUGCAAGUAUGAGAGGGCCUUACAUAUUUCAUGCUUAUAGGAUGUUGGAUUUGAUUUGACUGUAAUGUCUAUUUCUGCAGCAUACCUAUGGGACUAGAUCCGUGAGCUAGUGCCCCUCCGUGCUCAUCUGGUUCUGGUCUCAGAGCAAUGUGAGAAGGGGACCAAAUCACAUUUUAUUGGUUGCGUACACAUUUUUUUUUAUGUUAUUAUGGGUGUAGCAAAAUGCUUAUGUUUUUAGCUCCAACAGUGCAGUAAUACCUAACAAUGCAAAACAAUACACACAAAUCCCAAAAAUAAAAAGGGAAACAUUUGAAUAUUACAACGAGCAAUGUCAGAGUCCGGAAUAUAACUAUAUAUGUAUAUAUGAUGGUGUGUAUAGACAUUAUGGACAGUAUAUGAAUAGAAAAGGUGUGUACAUUAGUAGUUAUAUAGGAUGAGCUUUGAAUAGAACACAGUAUAUAGAGAGCAUUUUUCCCACAUUUUGUUAUGUUACAGCCUUAUUCUAAAAUUGAUUAAAUACAUUUGUUUCCUCAUCAAUCUACACACAAUACCCCAUAAUGACAAAGCAAAAACAGAUUUUUUGGUCAAAUAAAAAACAGAACAACCUUAUUUACAUAA